Molecule: ribosomal RNA, 415 nt
Filed under: uncultured bacterium
Lineage: Bacteria
Description: bacterial SSU rRNA
Rfam family: Bacterial small subunit ribosomal RNA
Source: RNAcentral
UGCGGGAAGAAGGCCUUCGGGUUGUAAACCGCUUUUGUCAGGGAAGAAAAGGUUCUGGCUAAUACCUGGGACUCAUGACGGUACCUGAAGAAUAAGCACCGGCUAACUACGUGCCAGCAGCCGCGGUAAUACGUAGGGUGCAAGCGUUAAUCGGAAUUACUGGGCGUAAAGCGUGCGUAGGCGGUUAUGCAAGACGGAGGUGAAAUCCCCGGGCUCAACCUGGGAACUGCCUUUGUGACUGCAUAGCUAGAGUGCGGCAGAGGGGGAUGGAAUUCCGCGUGUAGCAGUGAAAUGCGUAGAUAUGCGGAGGAACACCGAUGGCGAAGGCAAUCCCCUGGGCCUGCACUGACGCUCAUGCACGAAAGCGUGGGGAGCAAACAGGAUUAGAUACCCUGGUAGUCCACGCCCUAAACGA